UUAAAGUUGUUGCAGUUAAAAAGCUCGUAGUUGAACCUUGGGCCUGGCUGGCCGGUCCGCCUCACCGCGUGCACUGGUCCGGCCGGGCCUUUCCUCCUGGGGAGCCGCAUGCCCUUCACUGGGUGUGUCGGGGAGCCAGGACUUUUACUUUGAAAAAAUUAGAGUGUUCAAAGCAGGCCUAUGCUCGAAUACAUUAGCAUGGAAUAAUA
This 209-nucleotide ribosomal RNA is filed under the name uncultured eukaryote. RNAcentral describes it as "partial 18S ribosomal RNA". It matches the Rfam family "Eukaryotic small subunit ribosomal RNA", at positions 604 to 819 of the family's 1831-position model. The record is from RNAcentral.